This is a long non-coding RNA of Canis lupus familiaris (dog), 1379 nucleotides long. RefSeq lists it as uncharacterized. The record is from RefSeq and is a predicted model, not a curated record. The transcript has 4 exons. NCBI's taxonomy places the organism in Eukaryota, Metazoa, Chordata, Mammalia, Carnivora, Canidae.
AACAGCAUGAGUUGAAAGGGGCACCUGGGGAAGGGCAGCCGUGCGCAGACACCACCGCUGACCCUCUCUCUGCCCCCUCCCUCGGCAGAGGGGACCCGCCCUCUCCUCACCACCGCUGAGAUCUCAGCCAGGAGGGGGCGCUGCUGACCACCACCUGGAGGGAGUGGAGGGAGGAAUGGCUUGUGUUCUGAGCAGAAUUCCUGCGUGGAAUCCCUGACAGCCAAUUCCUUCGAAUGUGACUGUAUUCGCAGGCAGGGCCUUUAAGGAGGUGAUUAAGGUAAAAUGAAGCUGUUACGGUGAGCCCUGAUCCAAUCUUCUAAGAAGAGGAAAUUUAAAAACAGUGACAGACCAGGAUUGUGUGCACACAGGGGGCGGCCAUCUGAAGCCAAAGAAAGAGAUUUCAGGGGAAACCAAACCUACCAACACCUUGAUUUUGGACUUCUGGCCUCCAGAACUGCACUCAGGGCAAGCCCAGGUAUCUGUUGCUUGCAGACCUUCCCCCAAGAGUUUCCAUUGACUUCGAAAUGCUUUUCUGAAGGUAUUCUUGGUAUUUAGAGAAGACUGAGUCACCCAUGCUUGUGGACAGGCCGAUCUGCAAAGUGGAGAAGACUGUGCGGCCCACACAGCAGAACCUCUACUAUAGGCUCAGGCUGACACAAGCAGGCCCCGAGGAGAAAUCCAGGCACAAUUCUACAGAUGAAGAUUUCAGACAAUCCUGCAAAGACUCAGUUUUUUCAGGCAAACAAAACUGUGACCGAACCUAGAAACUAGCACCUAAAACACCAUUUCAGAAGAAACGCACAUUCUAAAUUCUCAACUCCCGCUUUUGGAGUGCUCGGGUAAGUUCCAAGAAUUAUGCCUCCUGUAUGGUUACUAUCUUGCCAAGCUCCUUGCACUGAUGUAGAGCAAAAAAUUCUCUUAAAAGUUCUUGAGUGGGAGAUACUUUACAAAGAUCCCUGUCACUCCCCUGAGGGCAAAGCAAGAGGCAUUAGUGAAAAGAGGACAGAAGGUGGAGGCAGUAGGAUAUGAGGACAGGGGAACCUGGAGGGGCUCAGCAAAGUCAUUAGCAUGAUGGACUUAGGUUACAAUUAUAAUAAUAAUAACAGCAGCAGCUCCUCCCCAACUCCCCAUAGAGGGAGUCUAGGUGGAGGUGGAAGUCCCAGAGAUGUACCAUCACAGUCACCACCUGGCCUGAGCUACAGGGAACAGUCACCACCUGGCCUGAGCUACAGGUUUCCCUGCCGUGUUAAAAAGGUGGUGCUUUGGGCAGCCCGGGUGGCUCAGCGGUUUAGUGCCACCUUCAGCCCAGGGCCUGAUCCUGGAGACCGGGGAUCGCGUACCACAUCAGUCAGGCUCCCUGCAUGGAGCCUGCUUCUCCC